Molecule: long non-coding RNA, 912 nt
Organism: Prinia subflava (tawny-flanked prinia)
Lineage: Eukaryota; Metazoa; Chordata; Aves; Passeriformes; Cisticolidae
Exons: 3
Source: RefSeq, a predicted model, not a curated record
CAGACUUACUCUCUUGGCUUACCUCAUCCCUCUGAAAAUCUCACCAAAUAGGAGCAUAUAAAAGCAAAAAAAGUAUAAAAUAACACAUUUUUCCCACAUGCUUUUAUUUUCUGAAUUGUUUAUAGCAGAAAUGCUGCUCCUGAUCCCCCCAUCAUGUAGAAAUGUGGUGGCUGGCACAAGUCUGUGUGUACCUGGGCAGGAGCACCCAUGUGCAAGCCUGCACUUGCAGGCACAGCUCUGUGCUGCCAGGGUUGAUAUUUGGGAGCUGAGUCUGUCUUGUUUUUUUUUUUUCUUUUUUUCUCAACAGGCAGCAAACCAAGUAAGGAAUGUGUCAGGACUGCUAGAACGUUGCCCAUGCCUUGUGUUUCUGCGUGAAAUGCAUUGCUAGCCACACCCAUAAAGAACUUGUCUCUCCCGACAAUACACAGCUGGCACGGAUUUGCUUCCUCAAGAUUUCAGAGUGUGCAUCUGAGGACUUAGGCGACGUCGUAAAGUUUCCCUCGGCAACUGCUAAAAUUAUUCACGAGGCACUGCAGCAUGGCAGCAGCUAUCAGCUCUGGAAUGCUUUGGAAUGUGCCCUUCUAUUAUUACAAAUCCUGGCUGCAUUGGACUGGGUCCUAGCUGCUCAUCCAUCGAUCGGGUUAGGUAAGAGCGCCCCUGUUUAAAGCCCCAGCAGCUGCCGAGGAACCAGCAAACAGAGGAACAACACUGAACCUCACGGUGAGUCACUGUGAAUGUAGGUCAGCCCAGGCUCUGCCCUCUGCUGAGCUCUCACUGGGUCGGCUCCAGCUCACCUGAAGGAGCCCCAACCUCAACAGAUCCCCCAAAAUAAAUUUUGCUUGUGUUCCUUUGCCAUGCAGCACUGCCACUUCUAUGGGGGAGUUUAGAGCAGAUGAGCAUUUUCUUAGCAAC